GAUAAACGCUGGCGGCGCACAUAAGACAUGCAAGUCGAACGGACUUAACCAAUAUGUUUACAUUUUGGAGCGGUUAGUGGCGGACUGGUGAGUAACACGUAAGCAACCUGCCUGUUAGAGGGGAAUAACAGUGAGAAAUCAUUGCUAAUACCGCAUAUGCCAUAAUCAUCACAUGAUGAUAGUGGGAAAGGAGCAAUCCGCUAACAGAUGGGCUUGCGUCUGAUUAGAUAGUUGGUGGGGUAACGGCCUACCAAGUCGACGAUCAGUAGCCGGACUGAGAGGUUGAACGGCCACAUUGGGACUGAGAUACGGCCCAG
This 317-nucleotide ribosomal RNA is filed under the name uncultured bacterium. RNAcentral's name for it is "bacterial SSU rRNA". It matches the Rfam family "Bacterial small subunit ribosomal RNA", at positions 28 to 334 of the family's 1533-position model. The record is from RNAcentral.